Molecule: transfer RNA, 58 nt
Filed under: Salmo salar (Atlantic salmon)
Lineage: Eukaryota; Metazoa; Chordata; Actinopteri; Salmoniformes; Salmonidae
Rfam family: tRNA
About the family: Transfer RNA (tRNA) molecules are approximately 80 nucleotides in length.
Source: Rfam by way of RNAcentral
UAGCUCAAUUGGUAGAGCAUGGUGUUUGCAACGCCAGGGUUGUAGGUUCGAUUCCCAC